RNAcentral lists this long non-coding RNA (1445 nucleotides) under Parus major (Great Tit). Its description in RNAcentral is "lncRNA (ENSPMJG00000009152.1)". The record is from RNAcentral. Lineage: Eukaryota; Metazoa; Chordata; Aves; Passeriformes; Paridae.
GGAUAUUAACAAGGGAAGUAAAGAGCACCUUAUUGUCUUGCUGUGACUGGGUGGAGUUGAAUGAACAGAUGUGAAAAUGCGUAAAUAGGUGUGAUUGUUGCGUUAAAGUUUUUGGGGUUUUUUUUUGGAAUUGUGUUGCUUCCACAGGGACUGGAUCACGGUGGGGACACAUGGAGUGAUUCACUUCCUCCCUGCGAGCUCCUGUCUUGGAGCUCCGGGGUGGCAAACCAGAACUGGGGCUUGUAGCCCAGGAGCCGCGGGGGUGUUGUAUGAAAUCUGUUCUUAGCGGGAUAGCAGCCCUGGUCUCAGAGCAGAGCCAAGGUUAUCUUUAGUGGUGAUCUUCUCUCUGUGCCUUUCCUCCCCCCUGGGCAACAAGAGCUGCUUGCGGGGGAGGGGUCGCUUUGGUGAGCUGGUAUGUGAUUCAGCGUUUGAAGUUGUUUGUUUUUUGGUUUUUUGGUUUUUUUAGAAGCAUUUUUUUUGCCCCACUGUGGUGGUGGUGAAACGUUUUCCUGGGAGAUCGUGCUCCCAGCGCUACUCCCUGCCGAGCUAUUAGGACGGAGGGGCAGGUCAGCCUCAGGAGUGCGUGGACUCCUGGAGCUCCGGCCGGCGGUGAGUCGGGCCGAACCCUGAUAAGAUCAGGGCACGGAGGGUGCCCUGAGGGGAUGAGUUCAGCUCGUCCCUCUUGAGUAAAGCAAGAGCAGGGGCCGCCUAGGUCUUGGUGCCCCUGGAUUGUUUAAACUUACUUUGGAGCUCUCAAGCCGCAGAGCUGUGUUUAGAUUGUUCUGGUGGCUGCAGGCAGGCUGGAUUGAACCACAGAUGCUGGUUCGGGUUCCCUGCUCCAGGCACAGGGGGAUCGGAGGAGCUCUCAGUGACUCCUGGAACCUCCUGAAGCUGUGCAACAGGCCGGGAACAUGCCCAAUGGUACUACUGAUAAUUAAGGCAGCGAGGCUGCAAUCUGGACCAAAGAGUGAAGUUGGAUUCACACCAGUAAGAUCAAAAGACCUGAGGACUGGACUAUAACACCCAAACUGAGUGAUACCAAAUGGACUCUUAAGCAGAGAUCAAGCGGUAAUGAACUGAGACAAUCCAAAUGAUCCAAGGGAUGAGCUAAGAAUCACGCCUAACUGAGAAGUAAGAGCAAGCCUGUAUCAGUAGUUUCAAGUCCUGCCUGGGACAAGUUCUGGGACACAUUCAAUAUCCACCUUGAGGGGGAAAAACUCCCACUCCAAACAGGAGGAUUGGGGCUGUGUUGGUUGGGAGAUCCUCAUAUUUUUUUGCUUUUGUCUGUAUUGUGUAUAAAGGAGGGGGAAAAAUCACAACUUCCAUCAGUGCCACAUCAUACACCUUGUCUAAAUCAUCCCAAUACGAGACAUGCUAUCUGGAUUAAAUACAAAUACUUAAAUUAGAGAAAAAUAGGUAUUGUGGUUCACAAAGUUAAGCCUCUC